AUUGAACGCUGGCGGCAUGCUUUACACAUGCAAGUCGAACGGUAACAGGCCGCAAGGUGCUGACGAGUGGCGAACGGGUGAGUAAUGCAUCGGAACGUGCCCAGUCGUGGGGGAUAACUACUCGAAAGAGUAGCUAAUACCGCAUACGAUCUAUGGAUGAAAGCGGGGGACCGUAAGGCCUCGCGCGAUUGGAGCGGCCGAUGUCAGAUUAGGUAGUUGGUGGGGUAAAGGCUCACCAAGCCAACGAUCUGUAGCUGGUCUGAGAGGACAACCAGCCACACUGGGACUGAGACACGGCCCAGACUCCUACGGGAGGCAGCAGUGGGGAAUUUUGGACAAUGGGCGCAAGCCUGAUCCAGCAAUGCCGCGUGCAGGAAGAAGGCCUUCGGGUUUUAAACUGCUUUUGUACGGAACGAAACGGCUCUGGUUAAUACCCGGGGCUAAUGACGGUACCGUAAGAAUAAGCACCGGCUAACUACGUG
This 482-nucleotide ribosomal RNA is filed under the name uncultured bacterium. RNAcentral describes it as "partial 16S ribosomal RNA". It matches the Rfam family "Bacterial small subunit ribosomal RNA", at positions 30 to 507 of the family's 1533-position model. The record is from RNAcentral.